UUGGAUUUGAUGGAAAAGUAUUAGUUUUGAACAUGUCAAUUUGAGUAAUUAGGCAAUUAGUCAUGCUAAGAUACUUUUGCCUAAUUAUAGUUAUAGUGAUUUAUAUAAUUCCUCUUUUAAAUGUUUUAAUUUGUUUUUUUUAUAUUUUUAAGAUAUAUGGCUGGGAAGAAAUUUCUAGUCAAAGUAUGAUGGACUUAGAAAACAUGGUGAAUUCAGAAUUAUCAAUGUUAUUGCACAAAUUACAUGGAGGCCAGUGGCAAAAAAU
This 265-nucleotide long non-coding RNA is filed under the name Lathyrus oleraceus (garden pea). Its description in RNAcentral is "Pisum sativum (pea) long non-coding RNA (PSAT_LNC021750)". The record is from RNAcentral. Lineage: Eukaryota; Viridiplantae; Streptophyta; Magnoliopsida; Fabales; Fabaceae.